UCUUGAUUAAACAAAUUGUCUUCACUUAGA
Molecule: non-coding RNA, 30 nt
Filed under: Rattus norvegicus (Norway rat)
Lineage: Eukaryota; Metazoa; Chordata; Mammalia; Rodentia; Muridae
Source: RNAcentral